This 502-nucleotide ribosomal RNA is filed under the name uncultured bacterium. Its description in RNAcentral is "partial 16S ribosomal RNA". It matches the Rfam family "Bacterial small subunit ribosomal RNA", at positions 30 to 507 of the family's 1533-position model. The record is from RNAcentral.
AGCGAACGCUGGCGGCGUGCCUAACACAUGCAAGUCGAACGUGAAAGGGAGCAAUCCCACGUAAAGUGGCGUACGGGUGAGUAACACGUAGGUAAUCUACCCCAGAAUCUGGAAUAACCGGCCGAAAGGAUGGCUAAUACUGGAUAGAGCGACGGAAUCCGUACUUGGGUUUUUCGGGAAAGGGAGCCUGUAAAAAGGCCUUCGUUCUGGGAUGAGCCUGCGUCCCAUCAGCUAGUUGGUGAGGUAAAAGCUUACCAAGGCAAUGACGGGUAGCUGGACUGAGUGGACGAGUAGCCGGACUGGGAGGGAGACACGCUACAGACGCCCUGGGGAGGGAGCAGUGGGGAAACGUGCGCAAGCGACGGGAGUCUGAGGCAGAAACGCCGCGGGCGUGAGGAAGAACGUCGGGUGGUAGAGGUCGGUCGAGUGGGACGAAAAUGCUUGGGGUUGAGAGCUACAGGAACUGACGGUACCACUAAAAGAAGCACCGGCUAACUACGUG